RNAcentral lists this ribosomal RNA (382 nucleotides) under uncultured eukaryote. RNAcentral describes it as "partial 18S ribosomal RNA". It matches the Rfam family "Eukaryotic small subunit ribosomal RNA", at positions 592 to 976 of the family's 1831-position model. The record is from RNAcentral.
UGCAAGCGUAUACCAAAGUUGUUGCAGUUAAAACGCUCGUAGUCGGAAUUUGGCAGUUCCGGAUGUGUGCACGUCGUGUGCGCACUUCGCGGGGAUUGCUUUUGUGGUCUUGCGUAGGAUGAGGCACUUUUAUUAGUGAACGUCCUCACGCAACCACUUUUUACUGUGAGAAAAUCAGAGUGCUCAAAGCAGGCAUUUGCCGUGAAUGUAUUAGCAUGGAAUAAUAGAAUAGGACUUGGUUCUAUUUUGUUGGUUUGUUGGGACCGAGUAAUGAUUAAGAGGGACAGUUGGGGGCAUUUGUAUUUCGGUGCUAGAGGUGAAAUUCUUAGAUUACCGAAAGACAAACUGCUGCGAAAGCGUCUGCCAAGGAUGUUUUCAUUGA